Molecule: ribosomal RNA, 497 nt
Filed under: uncultured bacterium
Lineage: Bacteria
Description: partial 16S ribosomal RNA
Rfam family: Bacterial small subunit ribosomal RNA
Source: RNAcentral
GACGAGCGCUGGCGGCGUGCCUAAUACAUGCAAGUUGAGCGCUGAAGGUUGGUCCUUGUACCAACUGGAUGAGCAGCGAACGGGUGAGUAACGCGUGGGGAAUCUGCCUUUGAGCGGGGGACAAAAUUUGGAAACGAAUGCUAAUACCGCAUAAAAGCUUUAAACACAAGUUUUAAGUUUGAAAGAUGCAAUUGCAUCACUCAAAGAUGAUCCCGCGUUGUAUUAGCUAGUUGGUGAGGUAAAGGCUCACCAAGGCGAUGAUACAUAGCCGACCUGAGAGGGUGAUCGGCCACAUUGGGACUGAGACACGGCCCAGACUCCUACGGGAGGCAGCAGUAGGGAAUCUUCGGCAAUGGACGAAAGUCUGACCAAGCAACGCCGCGUGAGUGAAGAAGGUUUUCGGAUCGUAAAACUCUGUUGGUAGAGAAGAACGUUGGUGAGAGUGGAAAGCUCAUCAAGUGACGGUAACUACCCAGAAAGGGACGGCUAACUACGUG